AUGCACUUUCUUCCCCGUCUUCCACUCUUCUUCCUCCUCUCUUCUUCUUCCUCCUCUCUUUUUCUUCCUCCUCUCUUCCCCAUUGUCGGCCGCACACCAUUUACCCCCGCUCACUGCUCGCCCGCCUGCGCCAUCUUCCUUGUACCAUAUAACUGGAAUUACCGAUGCAAGUCGAAGAAGGAUUGGCCGGUGCUGCCGGCUGGCGUCAAGUUUGAUCCCACAGAUCAGGAGCUGAUCAAGCACCUUGAGGCCAAAGUGAGUGCUGACAGCGCGAGAUUUCAGUCUCUCAUCAAUUUGUUCAUACCAACCAUCGACAGCGAGCACGACAUAUGCUACACCCAACCUGAGAAACUUCCAGGUAUCACACUGAGUGGCCUAAGGAAGCAUUUCUUCCAGCGCAAUUCCAGGGCAUUCAAAAGGGGCACAUGGACGCGUCGCAAGAUACAGUCGGAGUGCGGCAUGCACACGAUGUGGCACAAGACCGGCAAUACCUUGCCGGUGAUGGUCAACGGCCGGCAGACGGGCAGCAAAAAAGGUUGCACACCAACAAGAACUUCGACCAGCAGAGGACCAACUGGGCGAUGCACCAGUACCACCUCGGGGACCUGGAGCAAGAGAAGGAGCGGGAGCUGGUCGAGCAAGUUUCAACUGGGCUGUAGACUGCCCAGGUUGGUUUUGUUUUUAACAGGCCCAGCCCAUGACGACAACGGGGCACAAAGAUCCAGCAGGUAUCUACUGGCCUCUAGCCCGCCAGCGUUAGUAUAUUGA
RNAcentral lists this ribosomal RNA (768 nucleotides) under Triticum aestivum (bread wheat). Its description in RNAcentral is "partial small subunit ribosomal RNA". The record is from RNAcentral. Lineage: Eukaryota; Viridiplantae; Streptophyta; Magnoliopsida; Poales; Poaceae.